UUAAGCAUAUCAGUAAGCGGAGGAAAAGAAACUAACAAGGAUUCCCUCAGUAACGGCGAGUGAAGCGGGAAGAGCCCAGCACCGAAUCCCCCGGCCUCUGGCGGCCGUCGGGACCUGUGGUGUUCGGGAAGCGUUCGGUGGGUCGGCGCGCUGCUCUGCGUUCUCCUGAACGAGGCUUCAUCCACGGCGGGUGUAAGGCCUCUACGAGCGGCGGACGGUCAGCCUUUCGCUUCCCCGGAGUCGGGUUGCUUGGGAAUGCAGCCCAAAGCUGGUGGUAAACUCCAUCUAAGGCUAAAUACUGGCACGAAUCCGAUAGCGGACAAGUACCGUGAGGGAAAGUUGAAAAGAACUUUGA
This 355-nucleotide ribosomal RNA is filed under the name Tubulanidae sp. Vema4. Its description in RNAcentral is "eukaryotic LSU rRNA". It matches the Rfam family "Eukaryotic large subunit ribosomal RNA", at positions 34 to 379 of the family's 3401-position model. The record is from RNAcentral. Lineage: Eukaryota; Metazoa; Nemertea; Palaeonemertea; Tubulaniformes; Tubulanidae.